UUAUGCCAAAAGAAAUCAGAAUUCUGAAAUAUCUACUCACAAUUGAGGAUCCUGAGGAGCGACUGUGCACUUUGAAAGACGCCUUCACACCGGGGGAAGAACUUGAAGGGAAAGAUGUAGAUUGCUUAUACACGACCCCAGAGCAGCUAUACAACUGGAUUGGGACAGUGGUGGAUGCAUAUCAUUUCAGUAGAGAAGGCACACUUAUAAAAGAAGCCAGAGACUUGAUGAACCCUAAAAUAAUUCAGAAAAUGGAGGAAUUAAAGAAGUUGAUCCUAGAUAACUUCAUGUGAGCAUUUGUUUGCUUUUAAAUAGCUACGAGACUGCUGCCAGUGCCAGAUUCAUCAGCGUGCCCAUCAACAUCCGUAAGCAUAUGUCCCAGCUCCAGAUGCAGUGACCACAUGAUUGCAUCGCAGAAUUGAACAUAAAGCUGAUAGGUUCAAUCUCAAUACUUCGAUGAACUGUCCUUAUCUCGGGGUUGUCUAUAGUCCUGAAUGUUUAAAUAUCCUAGACUUUAGUUCAGACGCACUUGGAUGUUGCUGAAAGAGGCACGAGCUAUCGUUGGUUGUAUAGAACAUUGAAUUUUGUGUAUGAUAGGCUUCUGUAUUCUGGGACAGUGACUUGAUGGCCUUUCUCUUACGGAACAACUUGUUUCCUGUUGAAGCUCAAUUACAUCUUUAGGAUAAUUUUAUACACAAAUGUAUCGUUUAUGAUGAAGUUCAUUACUAUCAUCAACGAAUUUAUAUGGUGUUUAAAGUUAUAUGAAUUUGUCCGAGAGUUUAUUCGUUCA
This is a non-coding RNA of Nicotiana tabacum (common tobacco), 790 nucleotides long. The record is from RefSeq and is a predicted model, not a curated record. NCBI's taxonomy places the organism in Eukaryota, Viridiplantae, Streptophyta, Magnoliopsida, Solanales, Solanaceae.